RNAcentral lists this ribosomal RNA (497 nucleotides) under uncultured bacterium. Its description in RNAcentral is "partial 16S ribosomal RNA". It matches the Rfam family "Bacterial small subunit ribosomal RNA", at positions 28 to 507 of the family's 1533-position model. The record is from RNAcentral.
GAUGAACGCUGGCGGCGUGCCUAAUACAUGCAAGUCGAGCGAACAGACGAGGAGCUUGCUCCUCUGACGUUAGCGGCGGACGGGUGAGUAACACGUGGAUAACCUACCUAUAAGACUGGGAUAACUUCGGGAAACCGGAGCUAAUACCGGAUAAUAUAUUGAACCGCAUGGUUCAAUAGUGAAAGACGGUUUUGCUGUCACUUAUAGAUGGAUCCGCGCCGCAUUAGCUAGUUGGUAAGGUAACGGCUUACCAAGGCGACGAUGCGUAGCCGACCUGAGAGGAUGAUCGGCCACACUGGAACUGAGACACGGUCCAGACUCCUACGGGAGGCAGCAGUAGGGAAUCUUCGGCAAUGGGCGAAAGCCUGACGGAGCAACGCCGCGUGAGUGAUGAAGGUCUUCGGAUCGUAAAACUCUGUUAGUAGGGAAGAACAAAUGUGUAAGUAACUAUGCACGUCUUGACGGUACCUAAUCAGAAAGCCACGGCUAACUACGUG